RNAcentral lists this unclassified non-coding RNA (169 nucleotides) under rhizosphere metagenome. RNAcentral describes it as "partial ribosomal RNA internal transcribed spacer region". The record is from RNAcentral.
GUAGGGCUUCGGCCCUGUCGAGAUAGAACCCUUGCCUUUUUAAGUACCUUUCGUUUCCUCGGCAGGCUCGCCUGCCGAUGGACCCCCCAAAAAACACUUUGCAGUACCUGUAAUAGUCUGAACAACAAACAAAAAAAUUAAAACUUUCAACAACGGAUCUCUUGGUUCU